GAAGAAAAAGCCGAUUUCAAAGAUGGUGGAAAAAUCUAAAGUACCUUCUUUGUUUGAGAAACAAAAGUUAGUAAUUUCUUAUUAGAUCAAAAAUCUAAGGUAUCGUUUGGUUCGGUAAUAAGCAAAAAGUGGGUAUUCCAGGGAUAGGUAUAAAUUGAGGUAUAAGCGGAGAUUAGAUCAAUUUUUCGUUUGGAUGAAAAUUGGGUUAUUCCUGGGAAUAAAAAAAAUAACGUUUGGUUAGGUAAGAUGGAAUAAGAUUGAAAGUGGAUAGUUAUAAAUAAAAAUUAAUAAUAUUAUCACUUUUUUAUUUAUAUUAGAAUUUAAAUUUUUAUAUUUUAUAUUUAUAUUUUAAAAUUUAAAAUUUUAACUUUUAAAUUUGAAAUUUGAAAUUAAAAUUUAAAAUUUAAAAUCUCAAAG
This 417-nucleotide long non-coding RNA is filed under the name Ananas comosus (pineapple). RNAcentral's name for it is "long non-coding RNA (ACOM_LNC030124)". The record is from RNAcentral. Lineage: Eukaryota; Viridiplantae; Streptophyta; Magnoliopsida; Poales; Bromeliaceae.